Molecule: transfer RNA, 72 nt
Filed under: Dyscophus insularis (Antsouhy tomato frog)
Lineage: Eukaryota; Metazoa; Chordata; Amphibia; Anura; Microhylidae
Description: tRNA-Ala
Source: RNAcentral
AGGGCUUUAUCUUAAUUUAAAGUGUCUGAGUUGCAUUCAGGAGAUGUGGACUGACUUUCUACAAGCCCUACA